This 253-nucleotide ribosomal RNA is filed under the name uncultured bacterium. RNAcentral's name for it is "partial 16S ribosomal RNA". It matches the Rfam family "Bacterial small subunit ribosomal RNA", at positions 524 to 776 of the family's 1533-position model. The record is from RNAcentral.
UACAGAGGGUGCAAGCGUUGUUCGGAUUUACUGGGCGUAAAGGGCGUGUAGGCGGAAAUGCAAGCCGAUGGUGAAAUCCCCGGGCUUAACCCUGGGCGGUCUGUCGGAACUGCAUAUCUAGAGAAAGUCAGAGGCAGGUGGAAUUCCAGGUGUAGAGGUGAAAUUCGUAGAGAUCUGGAGGAACACCGGCGGCGAAGGCGGCCUGCUGGGGCUUUUCUGACGCUGAGGCGCGAAAGCGUGGGUAGCAAACAGG